Molecule: transfer RNA, 73 nt
Filed under: Podiceps cristatus (great crested grebe)
Lineage: Eukaryota; Metazoa; Chordata; Aves; Podicipediformes; Podicipedidae
Rfam family: tRNA
About the family: Transfer RNA (tRNA) molecules are approximately 80 nucleotides in length.
Source: Rfam by way of RNAcentral
GCCCAGCUAGCUCAGUCGGUAGAGCAUAGGACUCUUAAUCCCAGGCUUGUGGGUUCAAGCUCCAUGUUGGGUG